Molecule: ribosomal RNA, 460 nt
Filed under: uncultured bacterium
Lineage: Bacteria
Description: partial 16S ribosomal RNA
Rfam family: Bacterial small subunit ribosomal RNA
Source: RNAcentral
CCUACGGGAGGCAGCAGUGAGGAAUAUUGGUCAAUGGACGAGAGUCUGAACCAGCCAAGUAGCGUGAAGGAUUACUGCCCUAUGGGUUGUAAACCUCUUUUAUAAAGGAAUAAAACGAGGCACGUGUGCCUUUUUGCAUGUACUUUAUGAAUAAGGAUUGGCUAACUCCGUGCCAGCAGCCGCGGGAAUACGGAGGAUCUGAGCGUUAUCCGGAUUUUUUGGGUUUAAAGGGAGCGUAGAUGGGUUGUUAAGUCAGUCGUGAAAGUUUGCGGCUCAACCGUAAAAGUGCAAUUGAUACUGGCAGCCUUGAGUACAGUUGAGGUAAGCGGAAUGCGUGGUGUAGCGGUGAAAUGCUUAGAUAUCACGAAGAACCCCGAUUGCGAAGGCAGCUUACUAAACUUUGACUGACAUUGAUGCUCGAAAGUGCGGGUAUCAAACAGGAUUAGAUACCCCUGUAGUC